UUCAGACUUCAGAUAUAUGCAAACAUUUUGUUUCUCUCCCCUCGUUCCGAUUCGGUUGCCGAACCGAUCUCUCUUCUCUCUGGUUGAUCACUAGUUUCCUCCCGUCGAUUUCACUAGUUUGUCUUCUGGACGCCGACGUCGCGCGGUGGAGGAGGAGGGAGGUGAACUUGGUCAAGGUCAAGAAGAACAAGCGUGAGGAGCACUCGCUAAAGAAGAGGAGAAAAUGCUUGCCUCAGUCGCAGUAGAUCGACGGGGCGUUGCCGAGAAAACGGUAGCCGACGCCUCUCUUGAUUUCUCGUGUUUGGUUUUGCGAAUUGAAGUUUAGGUUGAGGUGUUUUUUUGUGUCGUUGGCUUUUAUAUGGUUGUGGUAUGGACUAUGGAGACCUUGUAAUGCUGAGAUCCAUGCCUUGGAUUCAUUUACGAGGAGCAGAUUGUCCAUGCCUUGUUUGCUGAAGUGCCAGAGAGAUAUGGAGAAAGAAAUGGUGGUUAUACUAGAAUUAUCAGAAAACUACCUAGGCGAGGGGACAAUGCACCCAUGGCAUACAUUGAACUUGUCUAGCUGUUUGCUAAUCUUUUAACAACACGAUCUUGACCCGGAGUUGUUUUUGAGCUUCUAGGUCUUGACAAUUAUUGAUUGCAAAAUCUCAGAUUAAAGUCUGCAUCUUAAAUGUUUGCUCAAUGGAGUGCAUCUUGAAUUUCCUGACAUCACCCUUUUAUUAGUUCACAUUCACAUUGUGUCUCUAAGCCAUGAAGAAGCUACUGCCAAAUCAGAUUGCAAGGUGUUUGAGUUUGCUGACAAGGACAUGGGAGCCUUCAUCAUUGGAUUGAAGAAAUCUCUAUAUGGCCCAUUCUGUAGUGUCUCCUCUGGUUAUCAGGUAAUGCUUUGAUCUAUUUUUAAGUCCUCAAUUAUGGUUGUUUCUAUAACUCUAUAAGAAGUGGUUACUUAAUUUGAUUUAUGUUGAGGGAGUUUCAACAGCAUAUAUAUAAAGAUUGGAUCAAUAGGUUUAAUGAGAAUAAACUUCAGGUGUUGUGGCUACCUCUACGCUUUGAUUACACUCUGGUUACACUGGAUCACACUUGUAUGAUCAUAUCUUGUCGUUGGUGAGGCUGGUGUCUAAGAUCAAUAUACUAAACCCUUAUAUUUCUUGCCAUAUAGUAGGUUUUACCUGUUGACGAUAAGUUGGUAUAAAAGCUGAAUCCAUAUUGCAUUACUUUUAAGUGAUUUUAUAGACUCAGUGUAUGUUUCUUGCAAAGUUUUUAAUAAGUGGUAUAUAAGAACGAAGUGUGUGGUAUGCAAAAGCCUAAUAAGAAAAUUAAUUUAUGAGAUAAGGUAUGUAUUGCUUGCUAAGUUUCUUCACUAUGCUUAUGAUCUUUAUGUGGUUUUAUUUGUGAAGCUUCCUAAUUUUUGGUUUAACUUGCUUUUACAGCUUCUGCUAUCAGACUCACUUGACAGCUUGAAUAUUGAUGAUCUACGGAUUGGUGUUUUGUCAUGUUGGUGGCUGUUACACCCCUAAGUGCUACAUGCACUAUGUGCGUGGGCGAGGUUCACCCUUGCACCAACCCAAGCAUGCACGACAAUCAAGCAAGGAGCCAAGUAUAGACGGACCAAGCCAAACUUAGAGACCAAGCUGCAAGCAAAGCACGGCGUAGGCAAAUGCAGGACUGUGCAUGGAGAUUAGCCUCACCAGCAGGACAGUUGCAGGGAUAUUAGCCUCGCCAGCCCAGAUGCAAGACUGUGCAGGGAGAUUAGCCUCACCAGCAGGACAGUUACAGGGAUAUUAGCCUCGCCAGCCCAGAUGCAGGACUGUGCAGGGAGAUUAGCCUCACCAGCAGGAUAGUUGCAGGGAUAUUAGCCUCGCCAGCAGGACAGAAUGCAAGCGGUUACAUGCAGUUACAGAGAGGCAGUUGCAGGACAGUUUUGGAUGAGUUGGCAAUGGAAGUUACAACCUUGGUUAUCUUAGGCAGUUACCUAAGUAGUGGGGGUUGUCCACUACAUAAUAGAAUAAUGGUAUGCAUGACAAGUGUCAUUGGCAGUUGAAGGGAAGUUACAUCUUCCAUGUUUGUAGGUAUUUAAGAAAACAGAAAACCUAGCAUGAGACUUGGAGAAGUUCUAGUGAACAUUGUCAAGAUCCUUGCUAUUCUAUGUAUGUUUGCUUUGUUUAAUGCAAAGAA
Molecule: long non-coding RNA, 2172 nt
Organism: Argentina anserina (silverweed cinquefoil)
Lineage: Eukaryota; Viridiplantae; Streptophyta; Magnoliopsida; Rosales; Rosaceae
Exons: 5
Source: RefSeq, a predicted model, not a curated record